CUACGGGGGGCACCAGUGGGGAAUAUUGCACAAUGGAGGAAACUCUGAUGCAGCAACGCCGCGUGGAGGAUGACACUUUUCGGAGCGUAAACUCCUUUUAUAUAGGAAGAAGAUGACGGUACUAUAUGAAUAAGCGCCGGCUAACUCCGUGCCAGCAGCCGCGGUAAUACGGAGGGCGCUAGCGUUACUCGGAAUCACUGGGCGUAAAGAGCGUGUAGGCGGAUUAAAAAGUCAGAAGUGAAAUCCUAUAGCUUAACUAUAGAACUGCUUCUGAAACUCUUAAUCUAGAAUAUGGGAGAGGUAGAUGGAAUUUCUGGUGUAGGGGUAAAAUCCGUAGAGAUCAGAAGGAAUACCGAUUGCGAAGGCGAUCUACUAGAACAUUAUUGACGCUGAGACGCGAAAGCGCGGGGAGCAAACAGGAUUAGAUACCCUCGUAGUC
Molecule: ribosomal RNA, 439 nt
Filed under: uncultured bacterium
Lineage: Bacteria
Description: partial 16S ribosomal RNA
Rfam family: Bacterial small subunit ribosomal RNA
Source: RNAcentral